RNAcentral lists this ribosomal RNA (550 nucleotides) under Nothofagozyma cf. chilensis CBS11766. RNAcentral's name for it is "eukaryotic LSU rRNA". It matches the Rfam family "Eukaryotic large subunit ribosomal RNA", at positions 62 to 627 of the family's 3401-position model. The record is from RNAcentral. Lineage: Eukaryota; Fungi; Ascomycota; Pichiomycetes; Serinales; Cephaloascaceae.
AAACCAACAGGGAUUGCCUUAGUAACGGCGAGCGAAGCGGCAAUAGCUCAAAUUUGAAAUCUGGCACUUUCAGUGUCCGAGUUGUAAUUUGAAGAUGGUAACCUUGGAGUUGGCCUUUGUCUAUGUUCCUUGGAACAGGACGUCACAGAGGGUGAGAAUCCCGUGAGAUGAGGUGUCCAAUUCUAUGUAAGGUGCUAUCGAAGAGUCGAGUUGUUUGGGAAUGCAGCUCUAAGUGGGUGGUAAAUUCCAUCUAAAGCUAAAUAUUGGCGAGAGACCGAUAGCGAACAAGUACAGUGAUGGAAAGAUGAAAAGAACUUUGAAAAGAGAGUGAAAAAGUACGUGAAAUUGUUGAAAGGGAAGGGCUUGAGAUCAGACUUGGUGUUUUGUGAUUAUCUUCUCUUCUUGAGGGGUGCACUCGCAUUAUACUGGGCCAGCAUCGGUUUGGAUGGCAGGAUAAUAGCGUUGGAAUGUGGCUCCAUUCGUGGAGUGUUAUAGCCUUCGUUGAUACUGCCUAUCUAGACCGAGGACUGCGUCUUUUGACUAGGAUGCU